Molecule: ribosomal RNA, 772 nt
Filed under: uncultured bacterium
Lineage: Bacteria
Description: bacterial SSU rRNA
Rfam family: Bacterial small subunit ribosomal RNA
Source: RNAcentral
AGAGUUUGAUCAUGGCUCAGAUUGAACGCUGGCGGCAGGCCUAACACAUGCAAGUCGAGCGGUAGAGAGAAGCUUGCUUCUCUUGAGAGCGGCGGACGGGUGAGUAAUGCCUAGGAAUCUGCCUGGUAGUGGGGGAUAACGUUCGGAAACGGACGCUAAUACCGCAUACGUCCUACGGGAGAAAGCAGGGGACCUUCGGGCCUUGCGCUAUCAGAUGAGCCUAGGUCGGAUUAGCUAGUUGGUGAGGUAAUGGCUCACCAAGGCGACGAUCCGUAACUGGUCUGAGAGGAUGAUCAGUCACACUGGAACUGAGACACGGUCCAGACUCCUACGGGAGGCAGCAGUGGGGAAUAUUGGACAAUGGGCGAAAGCCUGAUCCAGCCAUGCCGCGUGUGUGAAGAAGGUCUUCGGAUUGUAAAGCACUUUAAGUUGGGAGGAAGGGUUGUAGAUUAAUACUCUGCAAUUUUGACGUUACCGACGGAAUAAGCACCGGCUAACUCUGUGCCAGCAGCCGCGGUAAUACAGAGGGUGCAAGCGUUAAUCGGAAUUACUGGGCGUAAAGCGCGCGUAGGUGGUUUGUUAAGUUGGAUGUGAAAUCCCCGGGCUCAACCUGGGAACUGCAUUCAAAACUGACUGACUAGAGUAUGGUAGAGGGUGGUGGAAUUUCCUGUGUAGCGGUGAAAUGCGUAGAUAUAGGAAGGAACACCAGUGGCGAAGGCGACCACCUGGACUAAUACGCACACCGAGGUGCGAAAGCGUGGGGAGCAAACAG